GGUUUGCCAUCAAUAGUUGUCCCUACAUCAAAUAACAGCGGUAAGUUAAAAACUCACAUUAAUCAUAACCAUCCUAUCUAGAUUUCUACAAUCUGUUAAAAAUACAGAUCAAACUAGAAAUAAUCAUAUGCCCAAACAUUCUGCAAACAAGAUUUUUCGAACAGAUCAGAGAAUAUUAAUGUGUCUUUGAAAUUUAGUUAAAAUUUUCUUAAAAGGCAAUGACAAGAGGCUAUGGGUACUCACAGGAUACAAGACAUUUUACUUGUACUUAAAAAUCAUCAAAACAACUUUGUAAAUCAUCCAUUCCAGUAGCCUAAAAAUGUAAACUCCAGAGACAUCCAUGUGAAUCCAAUAAUUUAGAAGACAAACCAAACAUUUAGCAAUGAGGCAAAAAGUCAGUUCCCAGCACAACAACAAGACUCAAUACAAAGACUAGAGAACAG
Molecule: unclassified non-coding RNA, 443 nt
Filed under: Hevea brasiliensis (rubber tree)
Lineage: Eukaryota; Viridiplantae; Streptophyta; Magnoliopsida; Malpighiales; Euphorbiaceae
Source: RNAcentral